CAGCCUCCAUCGUAUCCAGGCCCCCUUCAAAGUGCAGUGCCUCGCAAAGUCAGUGUCUAUCAUUAAGGACUCCCCCACCCAGGAAGUGCUCUCUUUUCAUUGUUACCAUCAGGGAGGAGGUACAGGAGCCUGAAGACACACACUCAACGAUUGAAGAACAGCUUCUUCCCCUCUGCCAACAGAUUUCUGAAUGGACAUUGAACCUAUGAGUAUUACCUCACUGCUUUUUAUUUCUAUUGCAGCAUCAUCUUAUUUUGGUGCAGAAGCAGAGCCGAGGAGUCAGACAUCAGGAAGAGCCGUGGUAGUAGGGGACUCCGUAGUGAGAGCUCCCGUGUGGUGCGGCUUUACUCAAUCACCCCAUCACCAAGGAGGAAGUGAGUCCACUAACCUGGGGCGAGUGCCUCACCUACACCUUCCCACCGUCUGCCAGAAGCAAGUCGAGAGCAUGACCAAACACAAGAGACUCUGCUGCAGAAACUUGUCAAGUUAGUCAGCUCUGUCACGGGUACUAGCCUCCACAGUGCCCAGGACAUCCUCAGGGAGUGAUUCCUUAGAAAGGCAGCGUCCAGCAUUAAGGACCCCCAGCACCCAGGACAUGCCCUCUCAACAUCAGGGAGGGGGUACAGGAGCCUGAAGGCACACACUCAACGAUUCAGGAACGGCUUCUUCCCCUCUGCCAUCAGAUUUCUGAAUGGACAUUGAACCCGUGAACACUACCUCACUACUUUUUUAUUUCUAUUUUUGCCCUACUUUUUUAAUUUAACUAUUUAAUAUAAAUAUACUUAAAGUAAUUCAGUUUAUCUCUCUAUUAUUAUGUUUUGCAUUGUAUUGCUGGCGCAAAGUUAACAAAUUUCUCGACAUACGCCAGUACUAUUACCUACUGUAGCCAGCUUCAGUGGCAUUGGCAGAGAUAAGUACAUGCAUCUCUCCACACAGCAUAGGGCUGUUCUCUUUCAAUCAUUUGCAGUUCUUGUUGGGGAAAAAACAUUUUUGACAAUGUGGCAUUCUCUUCACACUAGAUUACAUAAUAGAGUCACUUAACAACACUUAAAACCACACCUCCAGUCCUUUGAUGCA
Hypanus sabinus (Atlantic stingray) is the source of this 1077-nucleotide long non-coding RNA. RefSeq lists it as uncharacterized. The record is from RefSeq and is a predicted model, not a curated record. NCBI's taxonomy places the organism in Eukaryota, Metazoa, Chordata, Chondrichthyes, Myliobatiformes, Dasyatidae. The transcript has 3 exons.